Long non-coding RNA from Pogoniulus pusillus (Red-fronted tinkerbird), 497 nucleotides. RefSeq lists it as uncharacterized. The transcript has 3 exons. NCBI's taxonomy places the organism in Eukaryota, Metazoa, Chordata, Aves, Piciformes, Lybiidae. The record is from RefSeq and is a predicted model, not a curated record.
CAAAAACUGGGCAGUAUUUUUGUGCUGUCUUUUCCUGGAACAAUCCUUUGAUUUUUAUUUGUAAAAUCUAUUUCUUUUGCUGCAUUUCCUUAACAGGUAGAGUGGAGUAAGAAGUCCUCUCUGCUCCAUGAGGAACCCUCUCAUUCUGAUGUCCACCUGGCACAAGGGAAGUCAGUUCAAAUCCAGAUUUCACCCAUUUCAGAGCAGGAGCUGAAGCACUGCUUUGGGAGCAGAUCUUAGUGUUGCCAGCCUGGAAAGUGCCUUCCUCCUGCUUUUCAAGAAGAGGAAAGACUGGAUGUGUUUAAAAGGGUUGAUUUUUCAUUCUCUUCCUGCAGCAUGAAGAGCACAGCAACAAAGGAACGGGAUUAUAGUUGCACAGAGAAAUGCAACUGUUUCUAACACAGGCAAGGCAAAGUGCUUAAAGAAGAACUCAGAGCAAGUAGCUUUGUUUCCUUUGAGGAUCGUCCUAAUAAAACAAAGAGGUUCAGCUUCUCGAG